UGUUGACGAAUAUUUUAGGUCGUGGGUGAUUUUCAGGCCGUUUUUGCCCUGAAUGUUCGGAAUGCUAUCAUUCUCGAUCGGCGAAUAAAUAGCAUAGGAAGGUUGGGGUUUCGUAAAGUACAAACUAUCCCACUUCUCGACUAUGGCGUUUUCUGCAAGUCAGUUCUCAAAGUCGAAGAUGCAUUGGUUGAAAAUGUCAACGAAACACUCCUUAUGUACGAUUUAGAAGCCCUCUGGAUAGAGGUUAACAUAGAAUUCACCGGCUUGAACGGCACUGAAGUAAUUGACCUC
Molecule: long non-coding RNA, 291 nt
Organism: Mya arenaria
Lineage: Eukaryota; Metazoa; Mollusca; Bivalvia; Myida; Myidae
Exons: 3
Source: RefSeq, a predicted model, not a curated record